This 307-nucleotide long non-coding RNA is filed under the name Mytilus galloprovincialis (Mediterranean mussel). The record is from RNAcentral. Lineage: Eukaryota; Metazoa; Mollusca; Bivalvia; Mytilida; Mytilidae.
GGCAUUUUGGCGCAUGUUAAAAGUUAACUCAGAAUAUAUAAUGAAACUAUAAGGAUCCAACAUAUUUUUAAUAACCUUGUAGUGGUAUUGACACAGGUAGUUCUAGAGUGGGUCAUUGCCAAUGAGAUGAAGAACAUGAUCAGAUGGAGUGUGAGAUUCAUCAUUCUUAAGUAAGGAUGGUCUUAAUUUAGACCAAUGCAAACAUGGACUGGUGCUGCUAUAGAAUUUACAACUAUUUAUUGCCUUUAUAAUAAGCUGUCGGGUUGCUACAUAAAAUAUUAUGAUGUUCGAUCAGACCAGAACUUUU